This 253-nucleotide ribosomal RNA is filed under the name uncultured bacterium. RNAcentral's name for it is "partial 16S ribosomal RNA". It matches the Rfam family "Bacterial small subunit ribosomal RNA", at positions 524 to 776 of the family's 1533-position model. The record is from RNAcentral.
UACGUAGGGGGCAAGCGUUGUCCGGAAUCAUUGGGCGUAAAGAGCGUGUAGGCGGUCCGGUAAGUCGGCUCUGAAAGUCCAAGGCUCAACCUUGGGAUGCGGGUGAAUACUGUCGGGCUCGAGUCCGGAAGAGGCGAGUGGAAUUCCUGGUGUAGCGGUGAAAUGCGCGGAUAUCAGGAGGAACACCAAUGGCGAAGGCAGCUCGCUGGGACGUGACUGACGCUGAGACGCGAAAGCGUGGGGAGCAAACAGG